Molecule: ribosomal RNA, 254 nt
Filed under: uncultured bacterium
Lineage: Bacteria
Description: partial 16S ribosomal RNA
Rfam family: Bacterial small subunit ribosomal RNA
Source: RNAcentral
UACGUAGGGGGCUAGCGUUGUCCGGAAUCAUUGGGCGUAAAGCGCGCGUAGGCGGCCCGGUAAGUCCGCUCUGAAAGUCCAGGGCUCAACCCUGGAAAGCGGGUGGAUACUGCCGGGCUAGAGUCCGGAAGAGGCGAGUGGAAUUCCAGGUGUAGCGGUGAAAUGCGUAGAUAUCUGGAGGAACACCGGUGGCGAAGGCGGCAUCCUGGACCAACACUGACGCUGAGUGAGCGAAAGCCAGGGGAGCAAACGGG